Molecule: long non-coding RNA, 764 nt
Organism: Erigeron canadensis
Lineage: Eukaryota; Viridiplantae; Streptophyta; Magnoliopsida; Asterales; Asteraceae
Exons: 2
Source: RefSeq, a predicted model, not a curated record
UCACACUCCUCAUUUACAUUCUCAACGCUUUCUUCCCUCUUUUAUCUCUCAGACUUUUCUGUUCUCCUCCUCUCUUUUUGCUCGUGAAUAGCAGCCUCAAAACCAAGAAAAACAAAAACCAAUAGCAACCCCAAAAUCAUCUUAAACAAUCAACUAACAAAUAACAAUAAUAAUUUAACUUGUAAAGGAGCAAAGGAUAAACAAUACUUGGAGUUUUUGGAGGUUAAAGGCCACGGAUCUCAGCCCUCAAAAGUCAUAUAUUUGAGCCAUUAUAGGUAAUUGAAUUAAGUUUAUUACGGUGGUGAAUGUGAGAAUGAAGAAAAGUUUUCCUUUUUCAUGAUUAUGAAGAUAAAGGGUGUUUAAUGCAAGACAUGAUGAAGAAGCAAGAACAGAGAAAGAAAAAGUUAAAGUGAAAGUUUGAAGAACAGAGAGAGUUUAUUGGGAGAGAGAGUAAUGGAAAAGUUAGAGUAAGUUGAGCAGAAGAAAUGAUCGAUGAACCGAACCCCCUUGAACUUGUUUCUUCUUCAUUGUUCUUUUCUUUUUUAUUUUUUUCUUCCACCACUUCACACCGAGUUUCUCCAAACAGGGGUGUUUUCCUUUUAAGGUGUAGAGCGAGAGAAAAAAACGAAUAGUUUUUCCAUUUUGAUUUGUAAUGUUACCGAAUGUGCAUGAAUUUGUUAAAUGUGUGUAAGAAAAGCCCAAUAAAACAAUAACUUACUUUGAUUAAAAAACCAAAACAAAAACCUCGCAUAUGGUUCUUAAUA